RNAcentral lists this long non-coding RNA (205 nucleotides) under Salvia miltiorrhiza (redroot sage). Its description in RNAcentral is "long non-coding RNA (SMIL_LNC002989)". The record is from RNAcentral. Lineage: Eukaryota; Viridiplantae; Streptophyta; Magnoliopsida; Lamiales; Lamiaceae.
AACUUUUUUUUUAUCAAAUUUUCCCUGAACUUAACCAACUGAUCAAUUUUGCCAUGGUUUUGAGAAAACCCCAAAUAGAGUGCUGACAUGGCACUCUUUAAGUUAUCUCAAAAUUGACGUGGCAUCGCCGGCGGGAACAAGAGACGACGACGUUUAAUAACACCUAAAACUACGUUUUAUUCACCAGAGCUAAAUAAACUCGACA